RNAcentral lists this long non-coding RNA (1658 nucleotides) under Amphimedon queenslandica. RNAcentral describes it as "uncharacterized LOC109585525, transcript variant X2". The record is from RNAcentral. Lineage: Eukaryota; Metazoa; Porifera; Demospongiae; Haplosclerida; Niphatidae.
AGCAAUUUAAUUUUGCUCUUUUAAGAAGCAUCUAUGGUGACAAGAGGGCACUGUUAUGAUCAUGGCUACCGCUGUGAGGUAUCAGCAUGUGUCUUGCCAGCGCGCGUCAAACGGCAUGAAGGGGGUCCAAACGUUAAGGGCGACUGGGCGAGGGGUCCAAGGGAGUCCAAACAGAGUGUCCAAGCGCUCAGGGAGUGUAUGGACCGGGGGUCCAACUACUCGCGAGCGCUUGGACCCCCGGUCCAAAUAGAAGGGGGGUCCAACCACCCUCCAACACCUGUAUCAACGCCGCGCCUGUAUGAUCUCCUGUCGAGUGUCGACGCCUGAACGUCUUACAAAUGGCGGCACUGGAGUAAAAAGGAUUUUAUAAGUAGUCCUCAGUCUAAUGUAUUUCUAAUAGACUUCAACACACCUCAAUCCUGUAGCCAUGAUACUCAGUGUACUUCUACCCUGGAAACCUCUCCUGUAUGUAUAUCUCUUGCCCACCCAACUCUAUCACUUCAAGCAAUGAAUGGAUUAUCCUGUAACUGUGUGACUGGAUACAGACAAACCUCUAACAUUGGGCCAGUCACUUGUGAGGCCUGCCCUAGUCUCAGCUCAGUUAGAUCUGAUGAUGGUUUGUAUUGCCUCACUUGUCUGUCUCCAUUGAUAUACACUGGAGGGACUUGCACUGGCUGUGAGGAUCAGACUUCUAUAUUUGUUGACACAAUUCCCAUCAAUCGUUCAUCAACUGGAGACAGAAGGUGCCAAACAUGUCCAGCUAGCACGAUUGCUGACUCUAGCAAGAAGCUCUGUAUCCCUGUGGUAUCAGUAAUUGCUCCAACUGCCUCUCAUUCACUAAUGGAGUCUGCUUCACUCAACCACUCACUCCUCCUACUUCUACUCCCUUUCCAUUUUAUUCUAAUUUCAGCUCUUCCCUUGCUCUAUGCAACAUACGUAUUGAGUGUCUGGUUUCAUUCUAAUUUAUUUGAAUUCCUCUAGAAUGGUAGUUUGAGUGCCUGCCAGUUGUUGAUCAAUUUGUGUGUGCUUCAAAGUUAUAGCAUGACUGAUCAAUCUUGUCAAGAUAUUAGAUGUCUUUCAUCAACUUCGCCUAAUCUAGUCCCUGAAGUAUAUUAUGCUCAGUUUGGUGCUCAGCAGUAUUUAACUAACAUAGCCAUUAAUACUGUUUUUUCUACAUCAGUGAUGAUAGCUCUCAGUGGCAGUUUGUGAGAUGUUUCUAUACCCACCAGUCAGUCACUGGCACUCCAUCAUAUCUUGAAUCCACUGAAAUCAAUAUACAGUUAACCAGUCGUGGUCACAUUCAGUCUCCAUAUCUUAGACUGUCCUAUCAGGCUAUACCUACCAAUGAUGCACAAAUACAGUGGAGGAAAUAAUGCUUUCAAUAUUGCUUUAUUAGUAAUAGCUAGUGUGUUUGUUAUUCUAGCUGCAGUCUAUGCUGGCUAGUUCAUAAUCACAUUAAUAAAUACUAGAAAGAAUUAAAAAUAUUGAGGGGCUCCGCCUCCUGACUGCACCUCCCAGUCAUGCCCAGAUGUACGUACAAAUUCUUUCCUUUGUUCCAUGUUGUCUUUUUCAUUUUUGUUCCUGGUCUCUAUUUCCUUUAUAUUUUGGUUGUUGUUCUACAAGCUACAAGUGACCCUUCUCCUAAGUCCUAACGCUCC